Molecule: ribosomal RNA, 1013 nt
Filed under: Ctenophora environmental sample
Lineage: Eukaryota; Metazoa; Ctenophora
Description: partial Bacterial large subunit ribosomal RNA
Rfam family: Bacterial large subunit ribosomal RNA
Source: RNAcentral
UUGAGUUGUGGAGGUAGAGCACUGAAUGGGCUAGGGGGCCUACAAGCUUACCGAACCCAAACAAACUCCGAAUGCCAUAACUCGAUGCAAGGGAGACAGCGAGUGGGGGAUAAGCUUCAUUCGCGAGAGGGAAACAACCCAGAUCAACAGCUAAGGUCCCAAAAUUUAUACUUAGUGAGGAAGGAUGUUUUGUUGCAAAAACAGCCAGGAUGUUAGCUUAGAAGCAGCUAUCAUUUAAAGAGUGCGUAACAGCUCACUGGUCGAGGGAUCGGGCAUCGAUAAUAAUCGGGCAUUAAGCAUAUUACCGAAGCUAUGGCUCUGCCGUUUAUAUGGCAGGGGGUAGGAGAGCAUUCUAAUGAAGCAGAAGCAGAAAAGAGAUUUUCUGUAGAUUUUUUAGAAAAGAAAAUGUAGGCAUAAGUAACGAUAAUGCGGGUGAGAACCCUGCACGCCAAUAGACUAAGGUUUCCUGAUCAACGCUAAUCGGAUCAGGGUUAGUCGGGACCUAAGGCAACCCCGAAAGGGUUAGUCGAUGGAAAAUCGGUUAAUAUUCCGAUACCAAAUUAUAUAGUGAAGGAGUGACGAGGGAGUGAAAGUCUCGCGAGCUGACGGAAGUGCUCGUUAAAGGGAGUAGGCGUUGAUUCUAAUAGGCAAAUCCGUUAGAAGAGCUGAACCUGAUAGUACUAAGAGUUUUCGGACAAUUAGAUAGUAGAUGUAACCAUACCUCCAAGAAAAGCUUCUAGCGUUAAUAUAUAAUUUGCUCGUACUUCAAACCAACACAGGUAGUCAAGUAGAGAAUACUAAGGCGCUCGAGUGAUGCGUGGCUAAGGAACUAGGCAAAAUAGCCCCGUAACUUCGGGAGAAGGGGUGCCACAAGAAGUGAUGAGACUUGCUCUCGUAGCUGAAAGUGGUUGCAACAAAGAGGCUCAGGCGACUGUUUAGCAAAAACACAGCACUCUGCUAACUCGUAAGAGGAUGUAUAGGGUGUGACGCCUGCCCGGUGCCGGAAGGUCAAA